This 757-nucleotide long non-coding RNA is filed under the name Gallus gallus (chicken). RNAcentral describes it as "lncRNA (ENSGALG00010001645.1)". The record is from RNAcentral. Lineage: Eukaryota; Metazoa; Chordata; Aves; Galliformes; Phasianidae.
GUUGAUAUUCAAUUAAAUCGGGGUUUUCCGAAGAGAAAACGCGUGAUUUUCGCUUAAAUGGGGGAUUUCCAAAGAGAAAACGCGUGAUAUUUGCUUAAAUGUGGGAUUCUCGGAGAUAAAGAGCGUGAUAUCCGAUUAAAAGGGGGAUUUCCGAAGAGAAAACUCGUGAUUUUUGCUUAAAUGGGAGAUUUCCGAAGAUAAUGGGGGAUUUCAGAUGAGAAAACGCGUGAUAUUUGCUUAAAUGUUGGAUUCUCGAAGAGAAAACGUGUGAUUUUCGCUUAAAUGGGGGAUUUCCGAAGAGAAAACGCGUGAUUUUCAAGUUAAAUGGGUGAUUUCCGAAGAGAAAACGCGUGAUUUUCAAGUUAAAUGGGGGAUUUCUGAAGAGAAAACGCGUGAUUUUCACUUAAAUGGGGUAUUUGAGAAGAGAAAAUUCGUGAUCUUCACUUAAAUGGGGGAUUCUCAAAGAGAAAACGCUUGAUUUUCACUUAAAUUGACGAUUCUCAAAGAGAAAACGCGAGAUUUUCACUUAAAUGGGGGUUUUGCGAAGGGAAAAUGUGUGAUUUCUGGUUAAAUGUGGGAUUUCGGAAGAGAAAACUCGUGGUUUUUUGGGUUAAUUGGGGGAUUUGCGAAGAGAAAAUGCGUGAUUUUCGCUUAAAUGUGGGAUUUGAGAAAACACAUGAUUUUCGGUUAAAUGUUGGAUUCUCGAAGAGAAAACGCGUGAUUUUCGCUUAAAUGGGGGAUUUCCGAAGAGAAAACG